CCCUUAGAUGUUCUGGGCCGCACGCGUGCUACACUGAGUGGAUCAGCGGGUCAGGUUGCGCGAAAGCGUUUCCUAAUCUUUAAAUCCGCUCGUGAUGGGGAUUGACGGUUGCAAUUUUCUGUCAUGAACGAGGAAUACCUUGUAAGCGCGGGUCAUCAUCCCGCGCUGAAUACGUCCCUGCCCUUUGUACACACCGCCCGUCGCUCCUACCGAUUGAAUGAUCCGAUGAAUACCAUGGAUUGAGAGUUCGAAUAGGUUCGCCUAUUUCAGCUUCUCGAGAAGUGGAGUAAAUCUUAUCAUUUAGAGGAAGGAGAAGUCGUAACA
RNAcentral lists this ribosomal RNA (324 nucleotides) under uncultured eukaryote. Its description in RNAcentral is "partial 18S ribosomal RNA". It matches the Rfam family "Eukaryotic small subunit ribosomal RNA", at positions 1470 to 1796 of the family's 1831-position model. The record is from RNAcentral.